This 253-nucleotide ribosomal RNA is filed under the name uncultured bacterium. Its description in RNAcentral is "partial 16S ribosomal RNA". It matches the Rfam family "Bacterial small subunit ribosomal RNA", at positions 524 to 776 of the family's 1533-position model. The record is from RNAcentral.
UACAGAGGUCUCAAGCGUUGUUCGGAUUCAUUGGGCGUAAAGGGUGCGUAGGCGGCGCGGUAAGUCGGGUGUGAAAUCUCGGAGCUUAACUCCGAAACUGCAUUCGAUACUGCCGUGCUUGAGGACUGGAGAGGAGACUGGAAUUUACGGUGUAGCGGUGAAAUGCGUAGAUAUCGUAAGGAAGACCAGUGGCGAAGGCGGGUCUCUGGACAGUUACUGACGCUGAGGCACGAAGGUCAGGGGAGCAAACAGG